Molecule: long non-coding RNA, 3214 nt
Organism: Ostrea edulis (European flat oyster)
Lineage: Eukaryota; Metazoa; Mollusca; Bivalvia; Ostreida; Ostreidae
Exons: 2
Source: RefSeq, a predicted model, not a curated record
GGGGGGGCUACAGUUAGAUAAUAUUCUGGUCAGCACAUUCGAUAAACUACAUGGAAUUCAUUAAAUCACUUCUUUUUCUUUCAGUGGUCUUCAACUUUUAAUCUCCAAGAAGGAAAUGUAAUUAAAAGAUGAAUAAAGUAUCCCUAAGAAUACCAGAAGAAAGGCUAUGUGUUGAGAAAAACAGCCCUUCCUCAGUACCUCAGAACUAGAUGAUAGCCCUUAAUUGUUACUUUAUGCUGAAUAUGACACAGUAUAGAAUAUCUGAUCAUGAAGAAGUAACACCAUUGAUACACUUGCCAACUGCCAAAAUUACUUUCUGAUAGUAUGAUGAGAUUAGAAGAUAUGGUGUAGUCAUGACACAAACUGCAAAUCAAAGAAUUGUCUUCCCCAGAGGAUGAACAGAGCACGAUGGCUUCACAUGGAUAACAUUUCCUUUCGAGUUUUGAAAUUAAUUUGUCAGAAUGUUAUGCAUUGUUAUCAACAGAAAAGAACUUCAUAGGUAGACCAAAGCUGACAUGGGAUGAGAUCCUAGAACAAGACCUAGAGUUUACAGGAUUGGAUAGGAUCAAUCCACUGGGUCGCCAAGUGUGGAAGUACAAACUUCAACCUCGACAGGACAGCCAGGCCUCACCCUUGCAAAAAGAUUAAUUUGGCCUGGAUAGUCAAAAUGAGUGAUGAUGAUUGAUAUCAAGGUCUGACACUGGAAGCUCAGUAAGGGUAGAUGCUGGCAAUGGAGCUGUUUAGCAAUAAAACAAACAAGUUUAACAUUAAACAUAUUUGUAUACUUUUUUGGCUCACCUGAGCCAAAGGCUCAAAUGAGCUUUUCUGAUCACCUUUGCCUGUCGUCUGUCUGUUUAUAAACUUUUCACAUUUUCAUUUUCUUCUCCAGAGUGAACCACUGGGCCAGUUUCAAUCAAACUUGGUAUGCAUCGUCAAUAGAUAAAGGGUAUUCAAGUUUGUUCAUAUAAAGGGUCAUGCACCCUUCAAAAAGGAAAUAAUCAUGGAAAUGCAAAAAUAGGGUGGGGUCAUUUAAAAAACCUUUUCAAGAACCACUGGACCAGGAAAGUUGAAUUCACACGAAAGGUUCCUGUUUUGUGCAAAUCAUGGUCUCUGGGGGUAGGGUGGGGUCACAAUAGAGAAUCAAAGUUUUGCAUUCAUAUAUAGUGCAUAUUCAAGUUUGUAAAAAGCUCACAGGGGUAGGGUGGGGGUCACAAUAGGGGAUUUAAGUUUUACAUGUGAAAUAUAUACAAGGAAAAUCUUUUAAAAUCUUCUCCUCAAAAACUAGAUGCAGAACCGUAGCUCUUUGAAAAGAGAGCUUCAGAUGAACCCCUUAUAAAAAAAACUUCAAUUUAUGGCAGAGAAAAAAAGUGCAUGUUUAAGUCCCUUUAUCACUGCAUUCCUGCAUCGCUGUCUCAUGAAUUUAAUAUUAAAUAAUUCCCAACAUAUUUUCCCACUAUACUUGUUUCCAAGCAUACUUUCAAAUAUUUUCUAAACCCACAUAUAACCCCAAAACAGCUUCAAGUGAUUUCAAUUUCUUUGUUGAUGUAGCCAUGUUAAGUAGCCAGUCGAUUUGAACCCCAGUUCAUUUCCAUACUCAUACUCAUUUUGAAACAUAAUGUUUGUGUGAACUAAUAUCCUCACAAAUAUUUUUAGUGAAAUAUUUUGGAUGAAAUCAUCCCAGUUGGGUUAAAUACUUAUUAUUCAAAUACUGUAGGUUUGAAUAUUGAACUAAUCUCACAGCUUUCUUAAGUUUGGUCCCCAUCCCCACCAGUCUGUUUUUACGCUUAACUAUUGAAAUGGGGUGUAAGGGAUCAGACUAGGCUUUUAUAGCAUUAUCAAUUUUCAAAAGCUUUAGAAAAAUUAUACAAUUUUAGGUCACUUGAGUAAACUCAGAUGACAUAUUGCUAUUGAUCUGCAUCUGUUGUAGUCCGUCGACAUUAACAAUUGAACAUUUUUAACUAAAUUCUAUAACUGAAAGAUGAAGAUACCGCACAGCGAUCAAUCUACGAUUCAAAUAACGGAAUUCUUUUCAAAUUUAGUAUGAAGCACACAAAUUUACAUUAAACCUUCUUGACAUAGUGCAUAUUCAAGUUUGUUAAAAUCAUUUCCCCGGGAGUUAUGGUGUGGUAACAAUAGGGGGUCAAAGUUUUAUAUGCUAGCUGAUAUAAAGGAAAAUUCUUUAAAGAUAUCUCUUGAACUAUUUAAGCUAGGGCUUUCAUAUCUUGUAUAUACAAUUUUUAUGGCAAAACAAAUCUGACCUAUUCAGUAUGUCCUGAACUACAUUGUGUUUAAGGUAGAUCUUUCAUAUAUAUUAUAUAUUAUGAAUUUCAUAUGAUAAAACCUUUCAUCUUGUUGAGGAGCCUCUCACCUCUGGUUGGCGCGGGUUUGAAUCCUGCUCGCACCGGUAAUUGAGAAAGUUUCCCAGUUUACUCUCGGAAGGUCGGUGGUCUCUUCCCAGGUACAUUGUAUCUGGGUUCUCUCUUCCACCAAUAAAAACUGGGCACCACCAGAUAACUGAAAAAUUGUUGAGUGUGGCGGAAAACAGUUAAAACAAUCAAUCAUAUUAUGUUAUUUGACCUUGUGACCCUGAACUCUGAGUUUGACAUACUUUUAAGAAAGUAUAACGUAUUAAGUAUAUCCAGGACUAUUUUAGAUAGGGCUUUUAUGUUUUGUAUAUUGAUUACUUAUGGCAAGGUCUUUCAUAUCAUACCAAGACCUACGACUUUUUACCUUGGUCUUAUCCAGAACAGCAAUAUCAUGCUAGUCAUAUCUUUGUCUUAUAUGAUUUCAUUUUAGUAAUGUUGUGUUCUUUAGAACUAGGUUUGGGUCACAUUAUUCAUGAGAAUAAAGAUUGAUAAAAUAGCAUUUAAAAAUCAAAACAGCAGGGCCAAGAUGACUCAGGUGAGCGAUGUGGCCCAUGGGCCUCUUGUUGAUUUUGAUAUUUCUACCUAUAUCAUUUGUAUGAGAAAUGGAACUCCUUUUUUUCUUUUACAAAUACAUGUAUUAUCAUAUGGAUCCAUCUUUGUUGAUUAUUUAAUCAAAGGACAUAUUCAAUGUAUUAAAUGUAAAUUUAUGGAUAUGUCUGUGGUUGAAUUACUUAUGUAUGUAUGUAUACAUUUUUCUCGCACAUGCAAUUACAUAUAUGAUGUAUAUAUAUUUACUAAUUGUACAUGUAAUAUCCCCUGUUAUAUAAUAAAAUAUAUGACUGAGAAUA